UCACAGCGAAAAUCCCUCCUGACAGAAAACUCGGACAUCACCUGAAAAGCCAAACCAAAACCAGACGUCUGUGAUCGAAACCACUGUGAAGAGUUCAGUUUCUAUGUUUAUUAUCUAGCUAAUAUCUGAUGGUGAAACGCUGUGCGUGGGGUACCUGUAAUUUCGGACACCAGGUACCCUGAAAGACUGGAUGGAGGAGUAUAUUUCGUACCUUUUCCGAAGCCCAAAAGAAAACUCGAGAAAUGCAAGCGGUGGAUUAUGCUGUGUCGUCAACCACAUCACAACUGAAUGUGAAGACAAUUAUCAAGGACACUUAUGUUUGCUCAAAGCACUUCAGAGAUGGGAAGCCAACUCUGGAAUAUCAGAUCUCAUCCGGGCUCUCGUGUGUGCUGCUCCGAAAAGACACAGACCCUCACCCAAAAGAAGCUAUGGACCAGGCGCGCCGGAUUCAUUUUAGAAGUGGGGGG
This is a long non-coding RNA of Gymnodraco acuticeps, 467 nucleotides long. RefSeq lists it as uncharacterized. The record is from RefSeq and is a predicted model, not a curated record. The transcript has 3 exons. Lineage: Eukaryota; Metazoa; Chordata; Actinopteri; Perciformes; Bathydraconidae.